UUAAUCAGAGUUGACUGCAUGCAAUUCUUCUUUACUUAAAUUAUUUGAUAUAUUUUACAACCCUGCCAAAGUUUGCUGUGAUUUAUCUUUUAUUUUUUCCUUUUAAACAAGCCCAUCUCACACAAAGCACCAGCUCUUUCUUAUCAAACGAAUGGAGAGGAAGCAUGCAGAGAGCCCUUCCCCCAGAAAAUGUCAUGGAGGCCACAGCUACCAUAAAAUGGUCCAUUCCUGCAGUAAAUCUUGCAGUGCAGUUUGUAUCACUUGGGGAGGCCAGGCAAAACUCACUGGCAACCAGGAGAGAGAGAGAGAGGGAGAGAGAGAGAGAGGAAUCAUCCUUAUCUGAAAUCUGCUUGACUGCUUGCAGAA
Molecule: non-coding RNA, 366 nt
Organism: Python bivittatus (Burmese python)
Lineage: Eukaryota; Metazoa; Chordata; Lepidosauria; Squamata; Pythonidae
Source: RefSeq, a predicted model, not a curated record